CGUACUUCUUUACAUCGCCAUA
Molecule: microRNA, 22 nt
Filed under: Ascaris suum (pig roundworm)
Lineage: Eukaryota; Metazoa; Nematoda; Chromadorea; Rhabditida; Ascarididae
Description: asu-miR-1-5p
Gene: asu-miR-1-5p
Source: miRBase by way of RNAcentral